GAAACUUUAGAAUUGCAAAUAGUGAACAGUAAUCCUGAACAUUUUGUCCUGGAUGUUAACAAAUCAGAACUGGUCAUGCCUCCUCACUCCAACAUCGAGUUGUCUGUUCACUUUCAUCCUUCUGUACUUGGAAGAAUAGGUCAUCAAGCUUCUAUCAACUUCCAAUGUGCUCAGUUUGAUGAGUGGAAAUUCUACCUCUCUGGAAUAGGACUAUUCCCCCAGCCUCUAGAGACAGAAAGAAUGAUCACAAACCUUGGUUUUCCUUCAUCUAUUGUUAUAAACUUUAAAAAUCCAACCAAGGAAAAUGUUCUCAUUGAUAU
This is a long non-coding RNA of Tupaia belangeri chinensis (Chinese tree shrew), 320 nucleotides long. RefSeq lists it as uncharacterized. NCBI's taxonomy places the organism in Eukaryota, Metazoa, Chordata, Mammalia, Scandentia, Tupaiidae. The record is from RefSeq and is a predicted model, not a curated record. The transcript is spliced from 3 exons.